Molecule: ribosomal RNA, 253 nt
Filed under: uncultured bacterium
Lineage: Bacteria
Description: partial 16S ribosomal RNA
Rfam family: Bacterial small subunit ribosomal RNA
Source: RNAcentral
UACAGAGGGGGCAAGCGUUAUUCGGAAUUAUUGGGCGUAAAGGGCGCGUAGGCGGCAUGGCAAGUGGACGGUGAAAUCCCUCGGCUUAACCGAGGAACUGCCCUCCAAACUGCUUUGCUUGAGGCCGGGAGAGGUGAGUGGAAUUCCCAGUGUAGCGGUGAAAUGCGUAGAUAUUGGGAGGAACACCAGUGGCGAAGGCGGCUCACUGGACCGGUUCUGACGCUGAUGCGCGAAAGCGUGGGGAGCAAACGGG